RNAcentral lists this ribosomal RNA (500 nucleotides) under uncultured Glomeromycotina. RNAcentral describes it as "partial small subunit ribosomal RNA". It matches the Rfam family "Eukaryotic small subunit ribosomal RNA", at positions 591 to 1092 of the family's 1831-position model. Lineage: Eukaryota; Fungi; Glomeromycota. The record is from RNAcentral.
CCAAUAGCGUAUAUUAAAGUUGUUGCAGUUAAAAAGCUCGUAGUUGAAUUUCGGGAUCGACGGGUCGGUCGCGCCUCUGGUGUGUACUGGCCCUGUCGGUUUCUCCCUUCUGACGAACCACGAUGUCAUUAAUUUGGUGUCGUGGGGAAUCAGGACUGUUACUUUGAAAAAAUUAGAGUGUUUAAAGCAAGCAUUCGCUUGAAUACAUUAGCAUGGAAUAAUGAAAUAGGACGUUUGAUCUUAUUUUGUUGGUUUCUAAGAUCGACGUAAUGAUUAAUAGGGAUAGUUGGGGGCAUUAGUAUUCAAUUGUCAGAGGUGAAAUUCUUGGAUUUAUUGAAGACUAACUACUGCGAAAGCAUUUGCCAAGGAUGUUUUCAUUAAUCAAGAACGAAAGUUAGGGGAUCGAAGACGAUCAGAUACCGUCGUAGUCUUAACCAUAAACUAUGCCGACUAGGGAUCGGAUGAUGUUAAUUUUUUAAUGACUCAUUCGGCGCCUUACG